This is a non-coding RNA of Lolium perenne, 1138 nucleotides long. The record is from RefSeq and is a predicted model, not a curated record. Lineage: Eukaryota; Viridiplantae; Streptophyta; Magnoliopsida; Poales; Poaceae.
CCCCCCCCCCUCUUCUCCCGCAGGAUCGAGUGCUCGCCGCCCUGGCUUGGGGAUUGGGGCACCACGGGGGAUUUACCGGCGCGCUCCUCCCCCUGAUCGACCAAUCUCCCGACACCUCAGCUGUCCGAGUCCCCGGCGAACUCGCACCCCAGAUCUCUUCCGUAAAAUUCUGCCGUGGCGGUUCUCCCUCCCCUACUUCCCGAGAUCUCCAGCACCGCUCCUGGCCUCCCCUACAUCACAAGCUCACUGGGGCCUACAAAUCUUGGUUCCCCUUCUAGGGAGAGGAGAGGGAGGACGUGUGUGUGUGGUGCUGGGCGGAUGGGGUUUCUGCAUUCAGUGCUCCCGGCCAUGCGCCUCCUCCACCACCUAUACCGUGCACGGUAGUGGUCACAUCCAUGCUGCUGGGCAGCGCAAAAUGCUACACUGGUGCUCAAGUCUGAGGCGAAACUCCUACGGUGCACACAGCUUUACUUUAAGACAUCCAUAGGUGUACAGAGAGAUGGGGUGCGGCAGCUGAUAUGAUCUAUCAGUACCAAACACCAGUGACCAAGGUGAACCUAUCUACUGCUAGGUUAUUGGUAAGCCUACUGCUGGGUUGCUAACUAGCUACUGCUAAGUCUACUAAGUUACUGCUAAUUUGCUGCUAUGUUGCUACUAAGUUGCGGCCACAAACACCUCUGUUUGGGUUGUUUUUGCAUCUGGUUUGGGGUCCAACAAAAGGUCUGGCUAUUUAACUAAGUUGCUGCUGCAACCCUCCCUGUUGUUUCCAAGAUCAAUGUUAGUUGAAUGGUAAUAUGCACUAAGUUGUUUUAUUCAGCAUACUUAAGUUGUUUCCAUCAUUUUAAUCUAAGUUUUGAUGUACUAUCAAAUUCCCCUAAGUAGUAUGCUGAUUUAAUUAAGUUGCUUUUUGCUAUCGCACUAAGUUGUUAUUUCGUGAAAAUUAAGUUGUACAUUAAUGAUUUUAAACGAAGUUACCUUUUUUCAUCCCCUCAGUUGUAUACUGAAUAUAAUUAAGUUGUUUUAUUCAGCAUAUUUGAAUUGUUUCCAUCAUUUAAUCUAUGUUGUUUAAUUACCCCGUUCUCAAACCACUUUGUUACUACGAGAUGAUUUGUGUGUUAUCUGCACGUACAUGGGUAGU